GUCCUGUUUCAAUUUCUAUCCAUUAUCGUCCUACUAUCUAGUAGGACUGGUAUACUUGUAUUGACUGGAGUACGUAAGGAAAAGGUAAGGUUAACCGCUAUC
RNAcentral lists this ribosomal RNA (102 nucleotides) under Hepatozoon catesbianae. RNAcentral describes it as "large subunit ribosomal RNA". Lineage: Eukaryota; Apicomplexa; Hepatozoidae. The record is from RNAcentral.